Long non-coding RNA from Corticium candelabrum, 1430 nucleotides. RefSeq lists it as uncharacterized. The record is from RefSeq and is a predicted model, not a curated record. NCBI's taxonomy places the organism in Eukaryota, Metazoa, Porifera, Homoscleromorpha, Homosclerophorida, Plakinidae. The transcript is spliced from 3 exons.
UGACCUUUGCCACCGACUUCGUCUGCAUCACUGACGCGUAAUAGAACUAGAAGUACAACACUGGCACUCAGUUGAACUGAAACUUCACUAUCUAGGACUAAGACGUCAGUUGCUAAUGACGCAUUGAAUGUCCACAAACCUAGUCUAGAAUGCCUCAUCGUUUGUCUGAAAUGAGGUCACCGUAAUUACGUAACUAGUGCAAGAAAUUAGAAACACAAGUAGCUUUGAGGUAGUUAGUUCGAGUUUGCAGUUACGUACCUGCCGGAGUUCACAGCGAAGCCUAGUAGAUUAUAUCCUAGUUGCUUUCUGUCUCUAGUAAUAAAUAUACUAAUGAGCACAACUCUGUCUCUGACACAAGCGUGUAGUACUGCGAUGGAACAGGACGAAUCGACAGCCGUGCUACAGAAAGAUGAAACAGAUACUCUAGACUCUCCAUCGCGGCACUAGCAAUGCGUUGAAUAAGCUGGCAAUGGUCGUGUCGUGCACAAGCAGUGUGGGUCGGCCAGCAGUAAUGCGUAUAGAGGUUAUGGUUUCAAUGGGAAGACCAGAACCUAUGGCUUGAAGAAUUGCAACAAUUAAGAAAAAUAAUUAAUUAACUUAGGGAAGUACUUUAAAGGGGAAAUUUUCGGAUGCGUAAAAUUGUCGCUAUAUUGUCGGUGGGUACAUUUUCGCAUAAAUUAAUUAAGCACGGGGGAAAUUUCUGUCAAUAAAGAAUGUCUGUAAUCUCGAGUACGCGUUGUCACCAGAAAGUCACGUGUACUUUUUACGUAAAAGUACGGCUCUUCACUCGUGCAUUUGUGGAUAUUCUGGAUGUACUGCUUUUUCAUUGACCUGACUGUACUCUCAUUGACGAAAUGACACAGUACACUGCUGAAAUGCCUAUAGUAGCUCUAUUCUCUUCUGCUUACAGUGAGAAGUUAUGAAGGACUGUAUACAUGAUACUCGGUUCUUCGACGUUUCACGGCUGGAGCAUGCUAUUCCCUCUGGAGGAAACCAGAUGCACGCAGUCCUUCACUGCGCAACGCUGGAACGCAAUUGGCAUAAGAUGCAUCGUUGGAUGAGAGGUCACCGCAAACACCAAUUUGUGCUCUACUCAGACUAUAAAGUAUCAAUAGUCCGCCUAUUGACAGCUCUCGUGGAAAAGAGUUCAAUCGGGGAAGCAUGCAUUAGUGAGGACUUUGCCUAAUGAAUGGACGGCUUUCAUUCAAUCAUAUCUUAUUAAUGUGUCUAUUCCUCUGACAUUGUUUGCUCAGCAAGUGGUGUCAGUUGACUUUAGGAGUAAGAUCUUUUACAUCUGUGAAUGUGUUCGUAAAUCUUAAUGCGUUAAGGUACACGCUGUUAUUAACGUCUUUUUUUGAGUUUUUAUAACUAGGUAAGAUUGUUAUAGGAGUGAUACUUCUUUAGAUUUUGACGAGUUUAUGCACAUGCUU